CUGAAUCUUUGCCUGCUUUCAAAUUUAAAUUUUAGUUUAUUUUGCUCUAAAAAUAGAGAGAGAUGAAAAGGUGAAUUUCGUUAUCUUUGUCCCUUCAUUUCGGAAAUGUUGGGUGCUACAAUCUAUCAUUAUUGCCCAUGGUUAAAGUUUCCUAAUGCAAUGUCGGUGAAUUUUUUAAUGUAGAUAUCAGGAAGUUUCUACUAGUGUAUACCGUGCUUUGUUCUUUUAUAUGAUUAUUUUCUCUGCCUAAAUUCCUUCUUAGUAGGCAAAUUACUCAAUGCUUUGGACACUUUCUCAUCCUUUCUUUUUCCUUCCGACUAACUUACGCUGGUCCUGUCUCACCGCUGCAUGCCCUGCACACUUGGAGAAAGAUUCUGUCACUCCUCCCCUCCAUACUGUCUGCUGCGAAAGUGAUGGAUGGAGAAUUAUUUACAUAAUCAGCCAAUGCUGGAAGUGCUAUGACAAGCUUGUAGCUUUAUCGCUUCCAACAUGAAGUUCUAUAUCCUGGAUGCAAGUGCUGUUUUCUACCCUCUUUUUAUGCUGUCCCGGGACAGUGCACGUCCCUGAUUUGUAUGGAGGUCUGGCACGGAUUUUGAAAACGCACCAACAAGAGCGAACCCAGUUGCUGCUAAUUUCUUCACAGCCGCCCUUGCAGCCUCCCAGACCACGGCCGGCGCCCUGGCCAUUGUGAGCGCUUAGGCCGGGACACAACCCAGCAGGCUGUGGAUGGAUCCGCAAAGCAGAGAGCGACUGGCUGCGGAGUGGGGGUGCCUUGGGCGGCUCUGAGGCCGGGACACCGGAGCUGCUCACUGCGCCCGGCGGCUGAAUGCUCCCCCAGCCCCUUUCCCAGACGCCAGCGGCCUCCCUGCCAGGGCUCUUCUGUCAGAUGUCCAAGCCCCGAGGUGCCACAGCGCCUCCAGUUCUGCAUUUCCCAGGCCACACAGCCUGGGAAGAGAACAAGGCACAAUGACAACCACAGAGCAGAGUUCUGCGGCCUCACCCCCUGCUGUGUGACAACACCCCUGUGCUCUCUGCCGCGGCCCCCCUUCCCCCCAGCUGCUAGGGAGGACAGCCCCACGCGCCCGGGCAGACACCUCUGCCACCACGGUGCCCACGCUCCAGGACUGGUCCCACCCCCUCCAAAGCGGCAAAGCUCGGGCUGGCCUGAUUCUGCUGCCUGCUGUGUUGUGGAAGUUGUCAGGAUCAAAACGGAGUUGCUGAAGUCAAAUCCUAAUGAGGUGGAGUUCGGAGGCCUUGAAGGCAGGGCGCUACGACAGGACUCACUGAGAACCACGCCUUCGCAAAGGCCCCACAGCCUAGGGCAGAAAACACGUCUCCGGGAGCCUGUGCCCGACAGCUGUGUGUCCAAGCUCAGGCUGUUGCCUGCCCUGCUGCCUGCCGAUCCUGGUAGCCAGGAAUACACGUUUCAAAACAAUUUACAGGGGCCAAGGCUGUGGCAUAGCAGGAAAAGCUGACACCUGCUGUGCCGGCAUCCCAUAUGGUCACCAGUUUGAGUCACGGCUGCUCCCUGAUCCAGCUCUCUGCUAUGGCUUGGGAAAGCAGUGGUAGAUGGCCCAAGUCAUUGGGCUCCUGCACCCACGUGGGAGACCCAGAAGAAGCUCCUGGCUCCUGGCUUCAGAUCAGCACAGCUCCAGCCAUUGCGGCCAUCUGGAGAGUGAAUCAGCGGAUGGAAGACCUCUCUCUCCCUCUCUCUAUCUUUUUGCCUCUGCCUUUCUGUAACUCUGCCUUUCAAAUAAAUAAAUAAAUCUUUAAAAAAAAAAAAAGUAA
This 1788-nucleotide long non-coding RNA is filed under the name Oryctolagus cuniculus (rabbit). RNAcentral's name for it is "lncRNA (ENSOCUG00000031042.1)". The record is from RNAcentral. Lineage: Eukaryota; Metazoa; Chordata; Mammalia; Lagomorpha; Leporidae.